Molecule: ribosomal RNA, 253 nt
Filed under: Durinskia baltica
Lineage: Eukaryota; Dinophyceae; Peridiniales; Kryptoperidiniaceae
Description: partial Bacterial small subunit ribosomal RNA
Rfam family: Bacterial small subunit ribosomal RNA
Source: RNAcentral
GAUCUGUAUCCGGCCUGAGAGGGCGCACGGACACACUGGAACUGAAACACGGUCCAGACUCCUACGGGAGGCAGCAGUGGGGAAUAUUGCACAAUGGGCGCAAGCCUGAUGCAGCCAUGCCGCGUGAAUGAUGAAGGCCUUAGGGUUGUAAAAUUCUUUCGCCAAGGAUGAUAAUGACAGUACUUGGUAAAGAAGCCCCGGCUAACUUCGUGCCAGCCGCCGCGGUAAUACGAAGGGGGCUAGCGUUGUUCGG